UCUCUGGUGGUUCAGUGGCUAAGACUCUACGCUCCCAAUGCAGAGGGCCUGGGUUCAAUCCCUGGUCAGGGAA
This 73-nucleotide transfer RNA is filed under the name Bos taurus (domestic cattle). It matches the Rfam family "tRNA". From Rfam's summary of the family: Transfer RNA (tRNA) molecules are approximately 80 nucleotides in length. RNAcentral also lists the same sequence under 4 other names. Lineage: Eukaryota; Metazoa; Chordata; Mammalia; Artiodactyla; Bovidae. The record is from Rfam by way of RNAcentral.